UAAGUUGGUAGUGAAGCGUGGGGCUCAACCUCAUAUCCAUUAUCAAACUGCACUGACUAGAGAAUGAGAGAGGUCGCUGGAAUUUCUUGUGUAGGAGUGAAAUCCGUAGAUAUAAGAAGGAACACCGAUGGCGUAGGCAGGCGACUGGCUCAUUUCUGACGCUCAGGCACGAAAGCGUGGGAGCGACCGGGAUUAGAUACCCCGUUAGUCCACGCCGUAAACGAUGGAUGCUA
Molecule: ribosomal RNA, 233 nt
Filed under: uncultured Candidatus Saccharibacteria bacterium
Lineage: Bacteria; Candidatus Saccharimonadota
Description: partial 16S ribosomal RNA
Rfam family: Bacterial small subunit ribosomal RNA
Source: RNAcentral